This 755-nucleotide long non-coding RNA is filed under the name Medicago truncatula (barrel medic). RNAcentral's name for it is "lncRNA gene21232". Lineage: Eukaryota; Viridiplantae; Streptophyta; Magnoliopsida; Fabales; Fabaceae. The record is from RNAcentral.
GUUGAAUGUGAGUGGAGGUUUAUAUGAAAUGGACUGGAAGCUGAAUACAAAUAUUUUCCUUUGGGUGGAUAUAUUUAGUGGGAGAAUGUAUAGAUUUUUUGGCUACCAUCUCUAUGCAUUAAAAUGUUAAAAAUAAUAAAUAAAAUAUGCUUGGGUUUAGAAUCAAAAUCCAGGUGAAGGAUACUUUGUCAAAGAAGCACAACAUUGAUAAUCCUCCGAUAAGCAAUGUUUCAUGGAACAAAUUGGUGCAUCAAACAGUCUCUUUACUUGAGUAGAGGCUUCACAAUGAUUGAUUAGCAACAAGGGGUGGUUUUAAUCAAUAGGAGUAUUGUUUGUGUCAACGAAUGUGUAUUAAAAUGGGAGCGCACAUUCAAAUCACCGUCUCAACAAAUAAAAUAAAAAAUGGGAGUGCACAACAUUUUUUUUUUUUGGAAGGUUUGGACGAAAGUAGUUGGGUUUGUGGUGUUUUUAUCAAAUAAUAGCUUGGUACAUGCGAAUAAAUUUCUCAGUUUGGCAUCAAGUGGUAGACAAAUGCAUGAAUGCAUCAAAUCCAUUUGAUUAUCUUGCAUUUGGUCUAGAGAUUCAUAAGUAAUUCGUUUUUUUGACGGCAUGAAAUUAAUGAAGGAACAAUCAUCGAUAUGGUAAAAUUCUUAUCUUGGUCAUUGAUUAAAUCCAAGAAGAAUGACUUGGAACUCUCUACCCCUUAUUUUUUUGGGUUAUAAUGUCGGUUAAGAUUUAUUGUAUCUUAAUUCGUG